Molecule: ribosomal RNA, 371 nt
Filed under: uncultured organism
Description: bacterial SSU rRNA
Rfam family: Bacterial small subunit ribosomal RNA
Source: RNAcentral
CGAAGGGGGCGAGCGUUGUUCGGAUUUACUGGGCGUAAAGGGCGCGCAGGCGGCUUUUCAAGUCAGGCGUGAAAGCCCCGGGCUUAACCUGGGAACUGCGUCUGGGACUGAAGGGCUAGAGUUCGGGAGAGGAGAGUGGAAUUCCCAGUGUAGAGGUGAAAUUCGUAGAUAUUGGGAAGAACACCGGUGGCGAAGGCGGCUCUCUGGACCGAGACUGACGCUGAGGCGCGAAAGCGUGGGGAGCAAACAGGAUUAGAUACCCUGGUAGUCCACGCUGUAAACGAUGUGUGCUAGACGUUGGGGAGCCUAGCUCUUCGGUGUCGCAGCUAACGCGGUAAGCACACCGCCUGGGGAGUACGGCCGCAAGGUUA